GAUGAACGCUGGCGGCGUGCCUAAUACAUGCAAGUCGAGCGAACAGAUAAGGAGCUUGCUCCUUUGACGUUAGCGGCGGACGGGUGAGUAACACGUGGGUAACCUACCUAUAAGACUGGGAUAACUUCGGGAAACCGGAGCUAAUACCGGAUAACAUUUGGAACCGCAUGGUUCUAAAGUGAAAGAUGGUUUUGCUAUCACUUAUAGAUGGACCCGCGCCGUAUUAGCUAGUUGGUAAGGUAACGGCUUACCAAGGCAACGAUACGUAGCCGACCUGAGAGGGUGAUCGGCCACACUGGAACUGAGACACGGUCCAGACUCCUACGGGAGGCAGCAGUAGGGAAUCUUCCGCAAUGGGCGAAAGCCUGACGGAGCAACGCCGCGUGAGUGAUGAAGGGUUUCGGCUCGUAAAACUCUGUUAUUAGGGAAGAACAAAUGUGUAAGUAACUGUGCACGUCUUGACGGUACCUAAUCAGAAAGCCACGGCUAGCUACGUG
This 497-nucleotide ribosomal RNA is filed under the name uncultured bacterium. RNAcentral describes it as "partial 16S ribosomal RNA". It matches the Rfam family "Bacterial small subunit ribosomal RNA", at positions 28 to 507 of the family's 1533-position model. The record is from RNAcentral.